AGCAUGCCUGUCGGGACCC
This 19-nucleotide small nuclear RNA is filed under the name Arabidopsis thaliana (thale cress). RNAcentral's name for it is "snRNA_07708". Lineage: Eukaryota; Viridiplantae; Streptophyta; Magnoliopsida; Brassicales; Brassicaceae. The record is from RNAcentral.